UAUUAAGCGGAGGAAAAGAAACUAACCAGGAUUUCCUUAGUAGCGGCGAGCGAACAGGAAUCUAGCCCAGCACUGAAUCCCGCGGCAUUGUCGCUGGGAAAUGUAGUGUUCGGGAGGAUUCACUUAUCCCGAGGCGUACGCUCGAGUCCAAGUCCAUCUUGAAUGGGGCCAAUUACCCGUAGAGGGUGCCAGGCCCGUAGUGACAGAGACGCGCUUCGGGAGAAUCUCUCCUUA
This 234-nucleotide ribosomal RNA is filed under the name Orthopelma mediator. RNAcentral's name for it is "partial 28S rRNA". It matches the Rfam family "Eukaryotic large subunit ribosomal RNA", at positions 44 to 261 of the family's 3401-position model. The record is from RNAcentral. Lineage: Eukaryota; Metazoa; Arthropoda; Insecta; Hymenoptera; Ichneumonidae.